Molecule: ribosomal RNA, 429 nt
Filed under: Gemmatimonadota bacterium
Lineage: Bacteria; Pseudomonadati; Gemmatimonadota
Description: Gemmatimonadetes bacterium partial 16S ribosomal RNA
Rfam family: Bacterial small subunit ribosomal RNA
Source: RNAcentral
UAGGGAAUCUUCGGCAAUGGACGAAAGUCUGACCGAGCAACGCCGCGUGUGUGAAGAAGGUUUUCGGAUCGUAAAACUCUGUUGUUAGAGAAGAACAAGGACGUUAGUAACUGAACGUCCCCUGACGGUAUCUAACCAGAAAGCCACGGCUAACUACGUGCCAGCAGCCGCGGUAAUACGUAGGUGGCAAGCGUUGUCCGGAUUUAUUGGGCGUAAAGCGAGCGCAGGCGGUUUCUUAAGUCUGAUGUGAAAGCCCCCGACUCAACCGGGGAGGGACAUUGGAAACUGGGAGACUUGAGUGCAGAAGAGGGGGGUGGAAUUCCAUGUGUGGCGGUGAAAUGCGUAAAUAUAUGGUGGAACACCAGUUGCGAAUGCGGCUCUCUGGACUGUAACUGUCGCAGAGGCUCGAAAGCGUGGGGAGCAAACAGG